Molecule: long non-coding RNA, 584 nt
Filed under: Gallus gallus (chicken)
Lineage: Eukaryota; Metazoa; Chordata; Aves; Galliformes; Phasianidae
Description: long non-coding RNA NONGGAT008801
Source: RNAcentral
UGCCUUUUAUCUUUUAUUUUGGUGACGUUCAGCACUUACUUUCAGCGAAUCCCCGCACCCACCCACAGGCUUACUUGCUUCAACCGUGCAGGGCCCCAGCAGGGCAGGGCAGCCCAGCCACCUCAGGGUACCCCGUGUGGCCCCCCCCUCGGCUCCCCCACAGCCCCCGGCAGCAGUCCCGCCCUCCUCCCGCCCCUCAGGAAGGAUAUGAGGAGCCGGGGCAGGACGGCGGGCAGCUCCCUGCGGCACAGCUCCCAGUCCCAGCCUCCCAGCUCCCGCAGGAGCAACUCGAGAUCGGUUUGGGACAUUGCACUCGCUCCGCUCCCCUCAGCGGCGGCGGCGGCGGGAAAACCCAACUCAGCGCCGCGCUCCCAGCAGCCUCUGCGGUCGCGGGGCCGCUGCGUACGUAUUCUACGCCCCCUUUUUCCCAGCGGGUGCGCAUGCGCAUAUGGAAGCGGAAGCGCAACCACGUGUGCCAGGCGGAGGGGGAUUGCGCCCUGCAGCCGGCGGAAUCAUUCGCCUGAUUCAUUGGCGAGGCAGCGGGUUUGCUGCCCGCCGAGCGCUCAUUCCCACAGCGAAAAGUG